GCCUGGGUGGCUCAGUCGGUUGAGCGUCUGACUUCGGCUCAGGUCAUGAUCUCACAGUUCAUGGGUUCGAGCCCCUCAUCGGGCU
This 85-nucleotide transfer RNA is filed under the name Felis catus (domestic cat). It matches the Rfam family "tRNA". Rfam says of the family: Transfer RNA (tRNA) molecules are approximately 80 nucleotides in length. Their secondary structure includes four short double-helical elements and three loops (D, anti-codon, and T loops). Further hydrogen bonds mediate the characteristic L-shaped molecular structure. tRNAs have two regions of fundamental functional importance: the anti-codon, which is responsible for specific mRNA codon recognition, and the 3' end, to which the tRNAs corresponding amino acid is attached (by aminoacyl-tRNA synthetases). tRNAs cope with the degeneracy of the genetic code in two manners: having more than one tRNA (with a specific anti-codon) for a particular amino acid; and 'wobble' base-pairing, i.e. permitting non-standard base-pairing at the 3rd anti-codon position. The record is from Rfam by way of RNAcentral. Lineage: Eukaryota; Metazoa; Chordata; Mammalia; Carnivora; Felidae.